Drosophila nasuta is the source of this 529-nucleotide long non-coding RNA. RefSeq lists it as uncharacterized. The transcript is spliced from 3 exons. The record is from RefSeq and is a predicted model, not a curated record. Lineage: Eukaryota; Metazoa; Arthropoda; Insecta; Diptera; Drosophilidae.
CAGUGCUGUAGUAAUUUUAAAAUAUACAAAAUUAAUAUACCACAAAAAUACAAAAAUGUAACAAAGGCUAUAUUCGGUAUAUUUAUAUAGUAUAAUAUUCAAAAUAUGCCAUGGGUAGCGCGUAUAAAAACUAAAGCACAAUUGAAGCUAAACAAUUUUGAUGAUGCAAGCAGAAAGUUAACACAGAGUAAAAUAAACAAUACAAUGAAUGCCUAAAUCAGCUUAACAAGCUUACAGCAAAAGUGACCAUGGAGGUGUUGAAGCCAGUUGCCAAGUAAAUAUAGAAAAAACGUAUACACGAAAGCAAGCGAAAGGAAUGUGAUAAAUGCGAUGAGUAUAUACAAAGAAUAUGUUGCUGAUUUUGUUGAUUUUGGCAACUGAUUGACAAACAGUCGAAUAAAAAUCAAAACUCAUGCCACGUUGGCCACGCAUCUUAUAAAACAUUCACCAUGCGAAUCAGCACUCAUUAGACUUACACUCACUCAUGUGAAUUCAUUUUCAUAUUCACAUUCAUAUUCGUAUUCGCAUU